CCUACGGGAGGCAGCAGUGAGGAAUAUUGGUCAAUGGCCGGAAGGCUGAACCAGCCAUGCCGCGUGAAGGUCAGUGCCCUAUUGGCGUUAAACUUCUUUUGUGCGGGAGCAAAAAUGGGCACGUGUGGCCAGACGAGAGUACCGUACGAAGAAGCAGCGGCGAACUCCGGGCCAGCAGCCGCGGUAAUACGGGGGAUGCAAGCGGUAACCGGAUUUAAUGGGGUUAAAGGGGGCGGAGGCUGUGAGGUAAGGCAGCGGUGAAAUGCCCCCGCUCAACGGGGUGAAGUGCCAUUGAUACUGCCUUGCUGGAUUGCGGCUGCCGUGGGCGCAAUGUGUGGUGUAGCGG
Molecule: ribosomal RNA, 346 nt
Filed under: uncultured bacterium
Lineage: Bacteria
Description: partial 16S ribosomal RNA
Rfam family: Bacterial small subunit ribosomal RNA
Source: RNAcentral